GAACGAGGUAGAUGAAGAGGUCUGGAAAGGCCCGCCAUAGGAGGUAACAGCCCUGUAGUCAAAACUUCGUUCUCUCCUGAGUGGAUCCUGAGUACGGCGGAACACGUGAAAUUCCGUCGGAAUCCGGGAGGACCAUCUCCCAAGGCUAAAUACUCCCUAGUGACCGAUAGUGAACCAGUACCGU
Molecule: ribosomal RNA, 184 nt
Filed under: Rhizochromulina marina
Lineage: Eukaryota; Dictyochophyceae; Rhizochromulinales
Description: partial Bacterial large subunit ribosomal RNA
Rfam family: Bacterial large subunit ribosomal RNA
Source: RNAcentral